This 20-nucleotide microRNA is filed under the name Ciona intestinalis (vase tunicate). RNAcentral's name for it is "cin-miR-4201-5p". Lineage: Eukaryota; Metazoa; Chordata; Ascidiacea; Phlebobranchia; Cionidae. The record is from miRBase by way of RNAcentral.
GGCAUUGAUAUGUGGGUUGG